This 830-nucleotide ribosomal RNA is filed under the name marine metagenome. RNAcentral describes it as "bacterial SSU rRNA". It matches the Rfam family "Bacterial small subunit ribosomal RNA", at positions 703 to 1520 of the family's 1533-position model. The record is from RNAcentral.
GGAACACCAAAGGCGAAGGCAGCUUACUGGGCCUAUACUGACGCUGAGGAACGAAAGCGUGGGGAGCAAACAGGAUUAGAGACCCUGGUAGUCCACGCCGUAAACGAUGAGUACUUGGUGGCGGGGGAUUCGACCCCUUCGCUGUCGGAGUUAACGCAUUAAGUACUCCGCCUGGGGACUACGACCGCAAGGUUGAAACUCAAAGGAAUUGACGGGGACCCGCACAAGCGGUGGAUUAUGUGGUUUAAUUCGAUGCAACGCGAAGAACCUUACCUGGACUUGACAUGUUAGUGAAACUCCGGUGAAAGCCGGAGCCUCCGCGAGCUUGCUCAAGGACACUAUCACAGGUGAUGCAUGGCUGUCGUCAGCUCGUGUCGUGAGAUGUUCGGUUAAGUCCGAUAACGAGCGCAACCCCUAUCCUUAGUUGCCAGCACGUAAUGGUGGGGACUCUAGGGAAACUGCCCGGGAUAACCGGAAGGAAGGUGGGGUCGACGUCAAGUCAGUAUGUCCCUUACGUUCAGGGCUACACACGUAAUACAAUGGGGAGUACAGAGGGUAGCAAUACUGCGAAGUGGAGCCAAUCCCAAAAAACUUCCCCAAGUUCGGAUUGCAGUCUGCAACUCGACUGCAUGAAGCAGGAAUCGCUAGUAAUCGCGCAUCAGCAUGGCGCGGUGAAUACGUUCCCGGGUCUUGUACACACCGCCCGUCACGCCAUGGAAGCCGGUAGCACCCAAUGUCAGUGUCCUAACCUUCGGGGAGGAGCUGCUUAAGGUGAGAUUGGUAACUGGGGCGAAGUCGUAACAAGGUAGCCGUACCGGAAGGUGCGGCUG